GUGAACGGUACAACAGAAACAACGUACAGGAAAGAAAUUAGGAAAUCUCUUUCACAAAUAUCAAUCACAAAUAAAUCAGACGUUUAAGACGCAUUUUAAAGAACAUCUUGUAAAAUGUUCACUCAUCACGAAAUAUAUUACACGAUUUUAUUUAUUGUCGUGGGUAGUAUAUUCGCUGCUAAUUGUCCAAAUAAUGAGACAUGCAAAUGCACAUCAAAUGAACUGGUCGAAAUAAAUUGUAAAAUGAACGAUUCUUCUAUUAAAAUUCAAAUUAGACCAGGCCAAUUUAUGAGGGUUUACUGCUCUAACUUCAAGUGGUCAGACCUACAUACGUACAAUUUUACAAAAUACGAAACAAAUCAAGUGUAUUUUUUUACGU
Linepithema humile (Argentine ant) is the source of this 379-nucleotide non-coding RNA. The record is from RefSeq and is a predicted model, not a curated record. Lineage: Eukaryota; Metazoa; Arthropoda; Insecta; Hymenoptera; Formicidae.